This 149-nucleotide unclassified non-coding RNA is filed under the name uncultured Sordariales. Its description in RNAcentral is "sequence contains ITS2". The record is from RNAcentral. Lineage: Eukaryota; Fungi; Ascomycota; Sordariomycetes; Sordariales.
CAACCCUCAAGCUUGGCUUGGUGUUGGGGCCUUGCGGCUACCGCAAGCCCUGAAAAGCAGUGGCGGGCUCGCUAUAACUCCGAGCGUAGUAACAUAUCUCGUUCUGGAAGGAUGGCGGGUGCCGGCCGUAAAACCCCCUAUUUUCUCAA